UUAAAUUGAAGAGUUUGAUCAUGGCUCAGAUUGAACGCUGGCGGCAGGCAUAACACAUGCAAGUCGAACGGUAACAGGA
This 79-nucleotide ribosomal RNA is filed under the name Escherichia coli. RNAcentral describes it as "partial 16S ribosomal RNA". It matches the Rfam family "Bacterial small subunit ribosomal RNA", at positions 1 to 77 of the family's 1533-position model. The record is from RNAcentral. Lineage: Bacteria; Pseudomonadati; Pseudomonadota; Gammaproteobacteria; Enterobacterales; Enterobacteriaceae.